CACUUAUCAAUAAAAUUUUAUUUGUAUCCAUACACGAAAAUAGAAAAUACAUAUAUUUGUAAUUUUGAGGUUGUAAUGAUUAUUGUAAUAUUACACUUCAUGAUAUCCAACUCUCCAGUUUCAAUUUAAAAACAUACUUGAUUUACUUUAAUUUAAUAUAUAUGACUUUGAUGUUAUUAAUUCUAUUUAUAUUCCCUAAAAAAUUAUAUUCGACCUCAUGACAGACCAAUUCAAGUUUCAACGUAUAUAAUACUUUAAUUGGGUUAAAAUAAAAAUCACCCUUAAGAUAAGAAUGUAGAACUAAUCUAUACCAUUAAUCAAUAAUACUUUAAUGG
RNAcentral lists this long non-coding RNA (335 nucleotides) under Salvia miltiorrhiza (redroot sage). Its description in RNAcentral is "long non-coding RNA (SMIL_LNC013757)". The record is from RNAcentral. Lineage: Eukaryota; Viridiplantae; Streptophyta; Magnoliopsida; Lamiales; Lamiaceae.